Acanthochromis polyacanthus (spiny chromis) is the source of this 5650-nucleotide long non-coding RNA. RefSeq lists it as uncharacterized. The record is from RefSeq and is a predicted model, not a curated record. Lineage: Eukaryota; Metazoa; Chordata; Actinopteri; Pomacentridae. The transcript is spliced from 2 exons.
AGAGAUCAGCUGUGAUUCUCUGAGCUCAGCUCUGAAGUCCAACCCCUCCCAUCUGGAACAUCUGGACCUGAGAGGAAACAACCUGCAGGAUUCAUCAGUGAAACAUCUGUUAGAUCUUGUGGAGAGUCCAGACUGCAUCCUGAAGGCUCUGAGCUGGAAGUAUUGAUGAUCAGGACGGUGUUUGUGCUGAGAGGAUGAAGUGUGUCCUGAUGAUCCAGAUGUUGAAGCAGCAGCAGCUGGUGUGUAGAGACUCUGACUGGACCAUGUUACUGCACUGUAAAACAUCAGGAAUUCAUUCAGUCAAAUCAACUCAUCUGUUCUAGUUUACUUUAGAGACAUACAGGAAUUUUGCUAAUCACUAAUUAUUUGAACUUAAAAUGUUUCAUUUUUCUUCUCAGACCACUUUAAAAAUUAAUAACAUGAAUUUGUGCAACUUGGGACGUUUUGACUUCAAAUAUUGAGUUUAGAGAAUGAACCGCUCAGAGUUCAUUCAACUCAAUAAAUUAAUUUUUUUUUAGCUCCCCUCGCACACCGCCAAAGGUGGAGGACUUGUAUCUGUAUUCAAAACCUCCUUUCAUGUCCAGCAGUUUCCAGCUGUCAACUGCUCCAGUUUUAAGCUCCAAUUCUUCGAGGUAAAAACUCCUGUGAUUGUUCUCUGCACUGUGGUCUAUUGCCCACUGAAAUUUAAUAGAGACAUUAUACGAGACUUUGUAAAUUUUCUAUCAGGUGUUAUUCUUAAAUAUGAACACUUUCUAAUUGUCAGCAAAUUUUAACAUGCUUUUCUGCUGUGAGACCAGACCGCUGGCCAGAGAUUUUCUGAAUCUCACUGACUCUUUCAAUCUCACACAGUCUGUUUCAGAGCUCGCAAACGAAAAAGGAUGCAUUUUGGAUCUUGUACUGUCAUAUAGAUUGAAUGUUCAAAUAACUGAAAUCUGCCACACACCCUUAUCCGACCAUCUACCUGCUUUAUUUUCCUUCUCUCUGACUGCACCCUCCACCACGGCCUCCAUGCCUGUACGUCGUCUCUGUUUUUUUUUUAAUUCUUUGACUACCCUGCAGCUUUCUGCUGCUUGGAAAGAGUCUUAUUCUCUGGACGACUUUGGCGACCUCAGUGUUGAUGUCUGUAAUGAUGUUUGAUUCUCUCUGUACUGAGACUGUGGACUCUAUUGCACCAAUGACUCCAAAGAGCGUAAAGCCACAGACUGAGCCUUGGCUGAAGGAGUCCACUCCUGAGCUCACACACGCAUGUUCAUCUCCACUGGCUCCCCAUCCCACAACGCAUUCAGUUCAAAAUCCUCCUGCUGACCCACAAAGCCCUCCAUAACCACAUCCCUCCAUACCUCAGAGACCUGCUCCACCGUCACACUCCCACCCACGGCCUUCAGUCAUCUACUGCAAACCUUCUCUGCCCUCCGCUGAGAAACAAGCACCGAACCUGUGGGUACAGCGCAUUCUCUAUACCUGUCCCCACACUGUGGAACUCCCUGUCACAACACAUCCGCGACUGCACAGACCUGACAACCUUCAAAUGACUCCUCAAAACCCACGUGUUCAGAACUGCUUUUAACACAUAACAUCAGUUUAUGUUUAUGAUACGUUUCAUGACUUGUUUUAUUUUUAGAUUUUUAAUGUUUGAUGAUUUUUAUGUGAAGCGUUUUUGAGUGUUUUGAAAAGUGUGAUACAAAUAAAAUGUAUUAUUAUUAUUAUAAAGUUAGCCAGGCAGAGAGAAAGUGGAAAAAGGACAAUCUCCAAAUUUCUCGGGAUCUCCUUUGAAUUCAUCAGCAGGCUGUUACGUUAUAUAUUUCUCCUCACUUGUCUCCAAAAAUGCUCACAAACCUCAGAUCCUUUGUAGUGUAUCUGACUCACAAUCCUUGUGGUGCCGUCUCUGUUAAACCUUCUUCUUCUCUGUGCAAGGAGUUUUUUGUAAAGAAAAUUUAUGUUCUUAGAUCUCCACUGCCUCAAUUUCUACAGCAAGCUCAGCUGCUUUUCACCAGUUUCAGCCUGUUUAACUUAAUGCACUCGCUGAAAUUGUUGAGCACCUACGUCCUACUGUCAGCUCUGACAGCAUUUCAUCUCGAUUGUUUAAAAAGGUAUUCAGCUCAAUGGGGUCUUUUAUCUUAUUUCUUAUAAACCUGUGUCUCAGCUCUGGAUGCGUUUCAUCCUCCUUCAAACAUGCCACGGUGCAGCUUCUUUUUAAAAGGAAAAACUUAAUACCUUGAUUCUGUCUAAUUUCAAGCCAAUUUCUCAACUCCCUUUCAUUUUCAAGAUUUUGGAGAAAGUUCUUUUUAACCAACUCCAAGAAUUUUUGAAACGGGCCAACGUUAUUGACCUGUUUCAGUCUGGUCUUAAGCCUCUUCGUAGCACUGAAACUGUUCUUUUAAAAAAAAUUUAAUGGUCUUCUUCUAAACCUUGAUUCUGGUGCUUGUGCCUUUUUAGUUCUUCUAGAACUAACAGCAGCGUUUGACAGAGUGGAUCACACUAUUCUUCUGUCACUCCUUGAGCACUGUGUGGGCAUUAAGGGCACUGCUUUGGACUGCUUCAAAUCUUACCUUGCCGAUAGAUUUUUCUGUGUGCAGUUGAGGCAGUUUUCCUCCUCAGUGGCCCCUCUGAGGUUCCCCAGGGGUCAGUUCUGGGCCCUCUACUGUUCUCCCUUUAUAUGCUACCCCUGGAGUCAAUAUUUAGGAAGCAUGAUAUCCCCUUUCACUGCUUCGCUGACGAUGUGCAGGUCUACUUGCCAUUAAAGGUAGCUUCUAAGGAAUCUCUUCAUGCUGUGUUUAAUUGCAUGAGGGAUAUAAAAACAUGGAUAGACAAAUUUCUUGAGAUUAAAUAAAAACAAAACUGAGAUUGUCCUGUUUGGUCGCCCUGAUCUGGUCCAGGUCCUUACCAGCUCCCCUGGCACUCUAGCACCUUAUAUACGACUGCAGGCUAGGGAUCUUUGUGUUAUUAUUGAUGGGGCACUUAAAUUAGAUGAACAAAUCAGUUCAGUGAUCAAGGCUAGCUUCUUUCAGCUUCGGCUUCGAGCCAAAAUGAAACCUUAAGAAGGGCUGAUCUAGAUAAAGUUAUCCCUAUUUUUAUUACAUCGAGCUCAGACUAUUGUAACUACCUGUACACCAGCACUGGCCAAUGAGAAUUCAACCAGCUUGUUCACAAUGCAGCAGCUUGUCUCCUAACCGGAACAAAGAAAUGGAAGCACAGAACGCCAGUGCUUUCCUCACUUAACUGGCUUCCAGCUUGGUACAGGACUGAUUUUAAGAUUCUUUUAUUUGUUUUUGAGUCUCUGAAUGGACUGGCCCCAGAAUAUUUGUCUGACCUUGUUAAGGUGCAUCGACCCUCCAGAGCUCUUAGGUCAGCUGACCAGAUGGUUCUCGAUGUUCCUCCAUCUCUCAUGAAAAUCAGAGGAGAAAAUCAGUUGUGGCUUCCACACCGUGGAAUGCAUCGCCCCUCUCUGUCUGGUCUGCAAAUAGCCUCUCCAUUUCAAAAACGCGUCCGAAGACCCAGUUGUUCAUCCUGACCCUUGGCUGAGCAGAGUCACCUCUGAUUGAUAUUUAAUCUGUUUUAUUUCACUGUUUUGUUGUUUUGCUUUUAUUGUUUCUUAUUGUGCCCUGUGACAGACUGGUGACCUGUCCAGGGUGUCCCCUGCCUUCGCCCGAGUCAGCUGGGAUAGACUCCAGCACCCCCCAUGACCCUAGUGAGGAUAAAGCGGUGUAUAGAGAAUGGAUGGAUGUUUGUUAUUGUUGAUGAUUAUUUUACUGUAAAGCACUUUGGUUGGCCAUAAGCUUUUUUAAAUGUGCCAUUUAAAUAAAGCUGACAUCAACAAGUUCACAAAAAACAAAACAAACACAGAUUUCCCCGUUAAUGUUCACAUGAUACCAUGACUGUAAAAAAUGAUCUUUAUUUUACAACCAGUUCUGUUUGGUUUGUUAAAUUACAAACAAUAUCUAGUAAAGACAAGUAUUAACCUACAUGUUCAACUGUAAAUAAUGUCCACAUCAAAUAUCUGAAUUUUAAAAAGCAGUAAUUUGUUCUUUUACAACAUUUUUACUGUAUUUAAAUCAGCAACAAAUCUGAUUAUUUUCCAGAUAUUUGUCCUCAUUUUCAAGAGAAUUUAUGUAUAUUCAAAGGUGAAAAUGAGAAAUGUUUUUGUAUAUAGUUUACAUAUUUGCUGUGUUUGUUAAAUUACAGAUAAUCUGGAAUUAAAUCACAGAAAAAAGUGUUAAUUUAAUCAGGAUGUUCGCUGUUAAAAAAAAAAAACAGAUGAAAACUGCUGUAUAAAGUCCAGAUCAAAGUUCAGUAUUUUAAAAAAUGGUCAUUUGUUCUUUUACACCAUUUGACUGUUCAUUACAUUGUUUUUAACUGUAUUUAAAUCAGCAAAAAAUGUCAUUUUUACAAAUAUUUGAAAAACAAGCUAUCUAUAUUCAUUUAUAUAUUAAUUAUAUUAAAGGUAAAAAUGGUUGUAAAAAUAUUUCACUGUUUUUUUCACAUAUUUGCAAUAUUUUGUUAAAUUACAGAUAAUCUGUAGUAAAAUCAGAAAAAAAUGUUCCUUUCUACAGUUUGACUGUAAAACAAAAACAGCCAAAAUUGUCCAGUAAUGUUCACAUGAAAAAUCUUUCUUUUUCCAACUAGUAAAUUGUUGUUGUACAAUGUGUGACCAAUAAAAAUGACUGUUUUCCUGUUUUCACCUCAACAACAACUAUUCCAAUAAGUGACAGAUGUUUUCUGUCAUUUUCUCACUUUCUCCACUUCUUAAAUGUUGUGUUUCUCUCUUCAAACAUUUCCUCUGGCCUCCUUGCUGCCAGAUGUUCACCGUUCCUUUCCACAUAUUUUUUCCAGUGUGGAGGUUGAUGUCAGGUUGCAGAGUGUGCAGUAAGUUUCAGGAUGUUUGUUUCAGUGCAGGAUUAGAUUUGACUUUUCUUUCUAUUUCCAGCUGCAGUCAAACUUGUUGAUCUUCUCUACCUGCAGCACAUUGAGCUGUGAGUCACAGAGCAGGCAGCAGUUUGAGCUUUUAACCUGCAGGGGGCGUUUUACAGAUAUUCACCUCAUGUUUUACAACUUUAAACAUGUACAGGACAACACAGGCUUCUGUAACAUCAGUAUAAACACGAAAGAAAAAUGCACAAAUGUUCAUUCCUCCCUGAAGCUGAAGUGCCUCAAAUGUGCAAGAAAGUGAAGUGUUGGUGUAAUUACUGUCACUGCCAGAAGGGGGAGGCAAAGGUUCCACUGCAGGUUUAAACAUGAGCAGUUCUGCAGACAAAAACCUUUUUUACUAUCAGGACUCCAAAACCUGUCAGCAGCUCAGAAAGACGUGUUCUAUUUGAAGAAAAUGUAGAAAUAAAAGUCAACAAAAUGUCACCAUUUCAGAGCCACACAACGGUAGAAAACAGACUGAAGCUGAAUUCUAGACUUUAAACAGUCUGAGAACUGAUCAUGUGUGAUGUGAACAUCUGUGGGGAAAAUGAACCAAAUGUGAGAUUAAAACUGUGACAUUUAAAUGUCAGGAAUAUGGAAAUUCAACAUGUAAAUGGUUCAAUAUGUCUGCUAUGUAGAGUCACCACUUUUUCUCUGGUGUUGGUAACACCUGUGGACACGUGGAAAAUGUUUGGUUCCAGUUUUCUCCUCACUUUUUUUGGAAAAUAAAGAAACUCAACUUUCA